Molecule: long non-coding RNA, 997 nt
Filed under: Heterocephalus glaber (naked mole-rat)
Lineage: Eukaryota; Metazoa; Chordata; Mammalia; Rodentia; Bathyergidae
Description: lncRNA (ENSHGLG00000041514.1)
Source: RNAcentral
CCCGAGUUGCCAUGUCAGCCUUGUUAAGUCACAGUCCGGGACCUGGACCAGGGCUCUCAGGACGGGCUCCUGGAGUGUCCAGGGGCUGCUGGGAGCUGGCUCAGGGGGGAGAGGACCACUUCUCUACCCCAUCCUGGCUCCCAUCCUGCCUCAGCCCAUGCCACAGGCCAGAGCCCUUGUUGCUGACUGUUCUGCGCCUGACGAUUGAGCAGAGCUGAGGACACACAAAAGACACAAACACAAAAGGAAAGCCACCCAGCGCAUGGACACAAAGCCAGACCCAGGGACCAAGCCACAGGCCAGUGUGUGCAGUGCCAUGGAUGCCAGGAGCAGGGAGCGGACCAGGACACCGAGGGGCUACAAGCUACAGUGAUGGUGCUAAAGAGCCAGGAUGUCUUGGAAUCUGUACAACUGCCGUUCGCCAUUCACCAAUCUGCAUUGAAGCUCUGGGGACUUCCAGGCCUUGUGAAGUCGGGGCUUCAUGGAGGAGGUGAUACCUGAGCUUGGGAGUCAGAGAACAGGCAAAACUUCACCGAGUCACACACUUACAAAAAUAUUUUGCUUCCUUUAAGCCACUUGUUCCGGGCUGGAAUACAACAUUUGUGAAAUAAAUGAAGAUUAUGAUAAUCAUACCUACAUCCUGAGACUGUGGAGAGGAUUAAAUUAAUAUGCUGAACAUGGAUUGUGAGUGAAUUGAUGAAGAGGUAAAACGACACCACAAUGCAGAAGGGUGCCAUAUAUGAAGCCAUUGGGCACCAAUAUGAGAGGCAGUAAAUCACCCCAGCCGAUUAAGUGCCUUCCCCCAAUAAAACCCAGAUAAUCCCCACACCAAGAGUUGAUCCUUGCGCUCAGGCCAUUCCAAGUUAUCAGCCCAUUUCCCUUCCUGUUGUCCAGCACUCUCACCCACCUCUCUGCUUACUCCGAAGCAGGAAGAGCAGACAUGGGGGUGGGAGUGGGAAGCAGCCUCAGAUCCAGUCGCAGUGGCGACAGCAGCAUC